RNAcentral lists this ribosomal RNA (500 nucleotides) under uncultured bacterium. RNAcentral's name for it is "partial 16S ribosomal RNA". It matches the Rfam family "Bacterial small subunit ribosomal RNA", at positions 30 to 523 of the family's 1533-position model. The record is from RNAcentral.
AUUGAACGCUGGCGGCAUGCUUUACACAUGCAAGUCGAACGGUAACAGGGAGCUUGCUCCGCUGACGAGUGGCGAACGGGCGAGUAAUAUAUCGGAACGUACCCAAGAGUGGGGGAUAACGUAGCGAAAGUUACGCUAAUACCGCAUACGAUCUACGGAUGAAAGUGGGGGAUCGCAAGACCUAAUGCUCCUGGAGCGGCCGAUAUCUGAUUAGCUAGUUGGUGAGGUAAAGGCUCACCAAGGCGACGAUCAGUAGCUGGUCUGAGAGGACGACCAGCCACACUGGAACUGAGACACGGUCCAGACUCCUACGGGAGGCAGCAGUGGGGAAUUUUGGACAAUGGGCGCAAGCCUGAUCCAGCAAUGCCGCGUGAGUGAAGAAGGCCUUCGGGUUGUAAAGCUCUUUUGUCAGGGAAGAAACGGGAGUGGCUAAUAUCCAUUCCUAAUGACGGUACCUGAAGAAUAAGCACCGGCUAACUACGUGCCAGCAGCCGCAGUAA